This 400-nucleotide ribosomal RNA is filed under the name uncultured bacterium. RNAcentral's name for it is "bacterial SSU rRNA". It matches the Rfam family "Bacterial small subunit ribosomal RNA", at positions 355 to 747 of the family's 1533-position model. The record is from RNAcentral.
UGGGGAAUAUUGGACAAUGGGCGCAAGCCUGAUCCAGCAAUGCCGCGUGGGUGAAGAAGGCCUUCGGGUUGUAAAGCCCUUUUGUACGGGAAGAAAUCAUCCGGGUUAAUACCCUGGGUGGAUGACGGUACCGUAAGAAUAAGCACCGGCUAACUUCGUGCCAGCAGCCGCGGUAAUACGAAGGGUGCAAGCGUUAAUCGGAAUUACUGGGCGUAAAGCGUGCGUAGGUGGUUGUUUAAGUCUGUCGUGAAAGCCCUGGGCUCAACCUGGGAAUGGCGAUGGAUACUGGGCGACUGGAGUGCGGUAGAGGAUGGCGGAAUUCCCGGUGUAGCGGUGAAAUGCGUAGAGAUCGGGAGGAACAUCCGUGGCGAAGGCGGCCAUCUGGACCAGCACUGACACU